Molecule: long non-coding RNA, 1034 nt
Organism: Juglans microcarpa x Juglans regia
Lineage: Eukaryota; Viridiplantae; Streptophyta; Magnoliopsida; Fagales; Juglandaceae
Exons: 2
Source: RefSeq, a predicted model, not a curated record
UAGUUGACUCAAGUGAAGUCUUUCAAGCUUUUGGCUUUCCUCCCCGAUCCCAUUUCCCCUUCGUGCCACUGUGCAAACCCUAGAUCGUCUUCCUUCACAGCCCACACCCAAGCUUGUUACACUGCCCCUCCCUUUAAAACACAUUGUCCACAAGGUGGGGAAAGGUACUCUUCAGCCAUGAAUAUGGCUCCCAUGUUGCUUUUUCUUCGGAAUGCCCUCGCCACUUCACCAAUAAUUCUACUCGAGCUUCGUUACUAGCCUUUACCAUUCGACAAUUCCAUACAAUUUUGGGCUUAAGGUGAAGGAUUCCAUGGUCGUCGACGGGAGGCAGCAUUGGCAUCAUGGUAACAUUGUCUCUCACCCUCUUCUUUAACUACGAAGUGUGGAAUGUAGGAUGGAUCCGAGAUCCUUCUGGUAGAUCUAUACGAUAAGCCACUUAUCCUAUUUUUUGUAAAACUUGGAAGGGUCCGAAAAACCUAGGGGAUAGUUUAAGGCUUCUGCAAUGCACCACUGAUCUUUGUUUGUAAGGUUGUAAUUUUAGGAAGACCCAAUCACCAAUUUCCAAUGAUUGCUCCUUUCUAUUUAGAUCUGCAUAUCUCUUCAUCUGAUUUUGUGCCUUCUGUAGGUUUUCUUUCAAUAGCUUGGAUAUUUGAUCACGGGUUUUCAAAUUGCUCUCCACUGCUUCCAACCUUGCAGUGUCUGGUAUUGUUUCAAAUGGUGUGAACCCAGUAGAUAGAUGUGUAGUUGUGUUGUACCACCAUUCUACUAGUGGUAACCAUAGGACCCAGUCACUUGGAUGAUCCCUACUAAAACACCUUAAGUAGUUUUCAAGAGUUUUAUUCACAGCCUUUGAUUGGCCAUCCAUUUGAGGGUGAUAGGCCGUGGUUAGGGACAUUUGUACCCCCUAUAAAGCGAAUAACUCCUGCCAAAAGCCACUUGUAAAUGUAUUGUCCAUGUCUAAGACAAUAGAUAGAGGUAGCCCAUGCAAUUUGAAAAUCUGUUUGAUGAAGAGUUCUGCUAUGUCUUUGGCAAUA